RNAcentral lists this ribosomal RNA (223 nucleotides) under uncultured bacterium. Its description in RNAcentral is "partial 16S ribosomal RNA". It matches the Rfam family "Bacterial small subunit ribosomal RNA", at positions 328 to 539 of the family's 1533-position model. The record is from RNAcentral.
ACGCUCGACACCUACGAGAGGCAGCAGUAGGGAAUCUUCCACAAUGGGCGCAAGCCUGAUGGAGCAACACCGCGUGAGUGAAGAAGGGUUUCGGCUCGUAAAGCUCUGUUGUUGGAGAAGAACGUGCGUGAGAGUAACUGUUCACGCAGUGACGGUAUCCAACCAGAAAGUCACGGCUAACUACGCGCCAGCAGCCGCGGUAAUCUGAGCGGGCUGGCAAGGC